This 372-nucleotide long non-coding RNA is filed under the name Eutrema salsugineum. RNAcentral's name for it is "long non-coding RNA (ESAL_LNC000955)". The record is from RNAcentral. Lineage: Eukaryota; Viridiplantae; Streptophyta; Magnoliopsida; Brassicales; Brassicaceae.
CACAAAACUUUUGCUCCACGAGCUGAAGCAUAAGCACCCAACCUUAUAAAAAGCACACUACAUUCUCUCCAAUUCUGACAAGCAAUCUUUUGGUAGAGGAAAGACCACCGCCCAAAAAUUGAUGAUUACAAUCAUACUGAUUUUUUAAGCUGCAUCCGGCCAGCAAAGGAAAGAUGUUUGACCUGCCAAGAGGAAAUUCUUCGUUUAAUCCUAUCAAGAAAAGAUUGAUAAUCCUCGGGCUUCAUUUUAUGAGGCAAAAAUGAGAGACCGAGGUAUCUCAUUGGCAAAUUACCAUGAAAGAGGCCAUACCGAUCCGAGAGGCUUUGGGUUAAAGAGCCAUUACCGCCAUCCAAAAACAUAGCAUAUUUCCUC